This 453-nucleotide long non-coding RNA is filed under the name Cyanistes caeruleus (blue tit). Its description in RNAcentral is "lncRNA (ENSCCEG00000017045.1)". The record is from RNAcentral. Lineage: Eukaryota; Metazoa; Chordata; Aves; Passeriformes; Paridae.
CUCGCAGCUGGUGGAGGCUGUUGUCUGCAGUCUGGCCCGGAGUGGCCAUGUUACACCCUCAGGGCUGGGCCUCUUGCCUGCCAAAACCAUCACCACUGUCCUGAGAUGCGUUGGAGGUACCAGAUCUGGUCUCUGAGCUUCCCUGCAUAAACCUGGAGUGGAAUGUCUCCUGCCUGCCAGCAAUGCCAGCCGAACGUGCCUGCUCCUCAAGCUGGCUCUGGAGGAUCCGAUGCCAGCCACGGCCCACGUGUGAGGGAAAGGUUCGCAGCCACUCCUAUAGAGGGGGGCAUUAAGAUCAACGUUGCCAAGGUGAGCACCACUGCAGCCCCUGGAGAUGCGAGCUGGAAGAGCUGCUCCACACGUGACCUCCUUUCAUCACCCUUUCGUGGCCAUCUCAGGAAGCUCACUGCUGCGCUGAGGCUGUAUUUUGAAGAUGCUGACAUCUGUAAAUGA